UGUAAUAUGGUACACUGUGAUAAAAAUAAAUAAAAAAGUUUAGUAUAAAUUUUAUUGUUAAAAUCGCCCCGGGUCCAAAAAUUCUUUAGACCGGAUCUGGGCUCAAGGUUUCUUGAUCUCAAAGGAAAGAUCGUUCAUGUGGCCGACCCGGUUACCUUGAGUGGACGGGCUUAAUCUUUUCCGAGUGCAAGUUGUAACCCUCGUCGCCGACGACGCGUUGCUGCCGCCCGGUGCGGCCGCCUUUGGUCUGGUGACGACUGGCCGGUGAGAAGAAGUACCACUCGCCUCCUUUCCCGUCCUUCUUAUCGGAGCCAGGCGCGUGGGCACGGUUCUCGAUGAGGUCCCCGGGCGGCACGGAGUAGACGUCGGCAUCGUGGGUGAAGUUGCUGAACUGGUCGCAGUACUGUUCUUCGGUAAUCCUCCGGCGGAGGUACUGGUUGAUAAGCUCGUGUCCUCCGGGAUUAAAGACGGAGCUGACGGGAAAGAGCUCGGGAUGGCCGGCCAUGUGGAAUCGCGCCUUGAUCAGAACUAGCUAGCUAGCGGACCUAGUUACUUCUCGAUCGCCUUUAUCGGAACUAGCUAAGGUACGAUAGGUAUGGAAACAUAGCUGGCUAUAGGUUGUAUGUAUGGAUGGUUACGCACCUUCCUUGAUUAAUAUAUAGAGUGCUUCUCGUCUUCACCUUGUAUCCGAAUUGCUACCGGAGUUCAUAUCGCUAACCGGAUUCACUUUUCUCUAGUUUUGUUUUAUACGUUCCAUUUCUUACACUUGUCUCUUUUUAUCACAUUUUGCUUUGCCGGCACCUAUUUAUGC
Molecule: long non-coding RNA, 811 nt
Filed under: Hordeum vulgare
Lineage: Eukaryota; Viridiplantae; Streptophyta; Magnoliopsida; Poales; Poaceae
Description: long non-coding RNA (HVUL_LNC014417)
Source: RNAcentral